GACGAACGCUGGCGGCGUGCUUAACACAUGCAAGUCGAACGGCAAGGCCCUGCUUUUGUGGGGUGCUCGAGUGGCGAACGGGUGAGUAACACGUGAGUAACCUGCCCUUGACUUUGGGAUGACUUCAGGAAACUGAGGCUAAUACCGGAUAGGAGAUCCCGCUGCGUGGUGGGGGUUGGAAAGUCUCGGCGGGUGGGGAUGGACUCGCGGCUUAUCAGCUUGUUGGUGGGGUAGUGGCUUACCAAGGCUUUGACCGGUAGGCGGCCUGAGAGGGUGACCGGCGACAUUGGGACUGAGGUACGGCCCAGACGCCUACGGGAGGCAGCAGUGGCGAAUAUUGUACAAUGGGCGGAAGCGUGAUGCAGCAACGCCGCGUGCGGGAUGACGGCCUUCGGGUUGUAAACCGCUGUCGCCUGUGACGAAGCGGUAGUGACGGUAAUGGGUAAAGAAGCACCGGCUAACUACGUG
This 468-nucleotide ribosomal RNA is filed under the name uncultured bacterium. Its description in RNAcentral is "partial 16S ribosomal RNA". It matches the Rfam family "Bacterial small subunit ribosomal RNA", at positions 28 to 507 of the family's 1533-position model. The record is from RNAcentral.